This 468-nucleotide ribosomal RNA is filed under the name uncultured bacterium. RNAcentral's name for it is "partial 16S ribosomal RNA". It matches the Rfam family "Bacterial small subunit ribosomal RNA", at positions 28 to 507 of the family's 1533-position model. The record is from RNAcentral.
GACGAACGCUGGCGGCGUGCUUAACACAUGCAAGUCGAACGGAAAGGCCCUGCUUUUGUGGGGUGCUCGAGUGGCGAGCGGGUGAGUAACACGUGAGUAACCUGCCCUUGACUUUGGGAUAACUUCAGGAAACUGGGGCUAAUACCGGAUAGGAGCUCCUGCUGCAUGGUGGGGGUUGGAAAGUUUCGGCGGUUGGGGAUGGACUCGCGGCUUAUCAGCUUGUUGGUGGGGUAGUGGCUUACCAAGGCUUUGACGGGUAGCCGGCCUGAGAGGGUGACCGGCCACAUUGGGACUGAGAUACGGCCCAGACUCCUACGGGAGGCAGCAGUGGGGAAUAUUGCACAAUGGGCGGAAGCCUGAUGCAGCAACGCCGCGUGCGGGAUGACGGCCUUCGGGCUGUAAACCGCUUUCGCCUGUGACGAAGCGUGAGUGACGGUAAUGGGUAAAGAAGCACCGGCUAACUACGUG